UCGCCUAAUCAACAAA
Molecule: transfer RNA, 16 nt
Filed under: Cruciata glabra
Lineage: Eukaryota; Viridiplantae; Streptophyta; Magnoliopsida; Gentianales; Rubiaceae
Also listed under: 84 other names
Description: partial tRNA-Cys
Source: RNAcentral